CAUUUCUGCUUUCAUUAUUUAUUGCUUUCAGGAAUUUUACUAUAAUGUAUCUGAUUAAACAAUAAAUAAUGACGGAGUAAUAGUAAAUGUAUUAGAAGCGCUAAAAUGCUUUUUGAGAAAAUCCAUUGCUUUGUAACCAACAAGGAAUCUGAGCACAAGAAAAAAGAACAUGAACAAAGUUUUUGUCAUUCUGUUGCUUUUUGCGUUUGUUGGAACUGCUUAUAUGCAAUGCACAAAUGACUGCAGUACUGCUAGAUGCAAACAAGAAAAAUGCAAUGAACAUCAGCGAGAUGAAAGAGGAGAAUGUGAUUGUUGUCCCGUAUGCAGACCUUUCUAUGGACCAUGAUAAGAAAUAUUAUGAAGGUAAUAGUUAUAAAGUGUGAAAUGUUAACAAGGAGAGAAGUAUAAACUGUAAUGUAAUGUAAAUUCCUUUUACUGAAAUAAACGUUUUAAUUCGAAAAAAUG
Parasteatoda tepidariorum (common house spider) is the source of this 465-nucleotide non-coding RNA. NCBI's taxonomy places the organism in Eukaryota, Metazoa, Arthropoda, Arachnida, Araneae, Theridiidae. The record is from RefSeq and is a predicted model, not a curated record.